RNAcentral lists this non-coding RNA (116 nucleotides) under Geminigera cryophila. Lineage: Eukaryota; Cryptophyceae; Pyrenomonadales; Geminigeraceae. The record is from RNAcentral.
CGCAGGGCUGUUCUGCAGAGGCAUUGGUGGCUUUGACACUAGCAAAAGGCAUGGUUCAAUCGUGCCUUGCAAAUAUGAACGCGCCAGGCUUGGAAGAGAACACGCAAACGGCCCAC